GAGGGUAUAGCUGAGUGGUAGAGUGCAUGCUUAGCAUCCUGGGUUCAAUCCCCAGUACCUCUG
This is a non-coding RNA of Camelus ferus (Wild Bactrian camel), 63 nucleotides long. The record is from Rfam. Lineage: Eukaryota; Metazoa; Chordata; Mammalia; Artiodactyla; Camelidae.